RNAcentral lists this ribosomal RNA (446 nucleotides) under uncultured bacterium. RNAcentral describes it as "partial 16S ribosomal RNA". It matches the Rfam family "Bacterial small subunit ribosomal RNA", at positions 338 to 795 of the family's 1533-position model. The record is from RNAcentral.
CCUACGGGUGGCAGCAGUCGAGAAUCAUUCACAAUGGGGGAAACCCUGAUGGUGCGACGCCGCGUGGGGGAAUGAAGGUCUUCGGAUUGUAAACCCCUGUCAUGUGGGAGCAAAUUAAAAAGAUAGUACCACAAGAGGAAGAGACGGCUAACUCUGUGCCAGCAGCCGCGGUAAUACAGAGGUCUCAAGCGUUGUUCGGAAUCACUGGGCGUAAAGCGUGCGUAGGCUGUUUCUUAAGUCGUGUGUGAAAGGCGCGGGCUCAACCCGCGGACGGCACAUGAUACUGCGAGACUAGAGUGAUGGAGAGGGGACCGGAAUUCUCGGUGUAGCAGUGAAAUGCGUAGAUAUCGAGAGGAACACUCGUGGCGAAGGCGGGUUCCUGGACAUUAACUGACGCUGAGGCACGAAGGCCAGGGGAGCGAAAGGGAUUAGAUACCCUAGUAGUC